UAGGGAGUCUUCCACAAUGGGCGCAAGCCUGAUGGAGCAACACCGCGUGAGUGAAGAAGGGUUUCGGCUCGUAAAGCUCUGUUGUUAAAGAAGAACACGUAUGAGAGUAACUGUUCAUACGUUGACGGUAUUUAACCAGAAAGUCACGGCUAACUACGUGUCAG
This 164-nucleotide ribosomal RNA is filed under the name uncultured bacterium. Its description in RNAcentral is "partial 16S ribosomal RNA". It matches the Rfam family "Bacterial small subunit ribosomal RNA", at positions 355 to 511 of the family's 1533-position model. The record is from RNAcentral.